UCUACGCUUCUGAAUCAUCUAGAGAGAUUCCUGAGAAGGGAAAGAAUAGGACAUCUAUUCUCAUGGAAGAAUAAAACAUUACGCUCUGGAGACAACCAGGCUGGACAGGGGGCAGAGUGAACACGUCUCUCCAAAGACCUCAGAUAUCAGUUUUCCAGGUAUGUUCGAGGGCUCCACGGUAUCUCCCAAACACAGUAACCAGGGCACGAGGCCUGGAUACUGAGUUCAGUCUCAACUACAGCAAGGUGCGCGAGCACCGCUUCACCAGCUGUGAACAGGUAUCUUGGACAGGACUGAUCUGAGGACAGUGCUGAGGUCUUGAGAGUCUUGGAGUGGGGCGCUGGACUCGGAAACAGAGGACCACCUGACAGAGUCAGAGUCACCCAUUGUUCUGAGAAUGUGUGCAUUUUUGAGCAGAGGAACAAUGACAAAAGAUCCGGGUGAAUCUCAGUUCAAAAAUCCUUAUGUGCUUCAAAAAAGGAAAACAAAAUAUUUUCAUCCACCUUAAAAAUUCGUGAAAAGAAAAACCACAGAGCUCUGUUAGUGAAAUGCCAAAAGUCAUAUUAUGUAUGGACACUGAGAGUCUGAUGCUUGUCUAGAGAGACUGAGAACUGGGUCUCAAGUCCACAUUUUUUCUGUCUCAGCAUCAAAAGGAGCCAAAGCAGAGAAGUGGGAGUAGGGAGAGGAGUGGAGCUUUGAAAGCUUGCAGAGGUUGCCUGGAACGACUGGAAGAGGUCUGGGAUGUGACAACGCUUCUGCAAAGGGACCUGCCUUCCACCUCAGCACCAUUAGGCUCCUUGCUGAGCCUCCCUCAGGGUGAGCCCAUGGCACUAACAACGGGCACCAUCCCACAAAGGUCACGCCCAUGCUCCCCUUGGAGACCAGCCAUCGUAGGGAUCGUCUGUUCCAGCUAUCCUCUUCCUACCCUGUCUUGGUGGCGGGGGCUGCCAAAGAAUGGAGCUUGUCCACCUUGACACACUUGGGGACCCAAAAGAAUACCUUCCCAUACACUCACCAGAGGCAUGAUUUUGGUGAGACCCGAGAAACAGACAGGUAGAGGCAGGUAGCCUCUUUUUUGUCAGCACAGAUGUGCAGAAGCUGCUAGAAAUAUCAAUCACCAAGAGAGUGGAAUUAAUGUUUUGGAAGGAGUAAGAAAAGAAGGAGGAGGCAGGCUGCCAUGUGACUUCAUUGAUGAAGAGAAUUAAGUCACUGAGUGACAAGGAGGACACCUUGGGCACCAGAAUUCCUGGAAAAUAAAAAGCAAACCAGAACAGAUGCUUGGACACAUGGGGACCCACUGCCCAUCUCACACUGUUUUUCCCAAUGGAACCAUCUUCCUCUCAACUGAAGACUGUCUAUAAUGAAGUGUCUUGACCUAUAGUCCAAAAGAAGGCACAAACUUUGAUCCUCAAUGCAAUUCAAAUCCUACAAUGUCACUUUUUAAAAAAGCACCUAGAAAGUGGGCAAACUUUACCCUCUUUGGUUAGAAAAAUCUCAGCAAGUCUUUAGCCAGAUCACCCCCAAUCUUCCCCAGGAAAACAGGUCUUCCCAGGCACAGAAAUCUGUCUCCUUUGUUCCUGGGGAUCUGAUCAGCCCUGAGGUUCAGGAGAGACUGGAGUGCCCUCUUUCCAAAAGGUUCAUGCAGCAAGAGAGUGGCCGCCCCGCAGAACCCAAGAGUCUCAGAAAGUGAUGCAGCCUCAGGGCGAAUCCCCAAGGCCUUGGCAGGCAAUGGACACAAAGAGAUCCUCAAGGCUUUCUGCAGGUCUAGGCAAAAGCAGCCAGGAAACACAGAAAAUGGCAUCCUGGUACCUAGCAAGGAUCCCAACAGGAAAGCUCCUGAGCCAAGAUGUAAAGCAGAGCAUGAGGAGGUUCCUAAAAGUUUUGUGCAUGACCUCAGCAAACCCUCCAGUGAAGGUCCCAAGUGCAAAGCCUGAGUUAGAAAGAGAGUUGAGCCCAGGCAGGAAGCAUCCAGAAGAAAUCCUGGGGGUCUUUAUAAACAGGAAGUCACAGCAGAUCCAUAAUGGUUGGAUCCCUGUUAAUGUCUAUUGUUCAAGGCUUUCUGCCAACCACUUCAUAGACCUUCCUGGACAGUCAAAUGCUCCCAUGGGAACAGAAAAUGCAGGUUGUUCUCAGGAUUGGGAAGCUUCCAUGUAGACUUCCUAUGAGUCUUUUUUCCUCAGUCCUUAUAUUGAACAGAAGCUGGAAGUUCAUAUAAUAAAGUUUCAGGUGAGGCACAGAUGGGUCCUUCUCCUAGGUUCCUGUAUAGCUUGAAGUUGAAAACUUCUCAUCACAUACGACUUCCAAGAUCCACCUUGAAGAUUACCAGUGACUCUGGGGACCACCCAAAAACCCAAGUUAACAGAGGGCUCAGGAAAACAUUCUCAUCCCCAUCCAGGAGAGAAAGUGAUAACAAUCCAGGCAGUGCCCACCCUGGAGAGUACCUGCCCUGACCCCUACCAGGCAACUGAGAAAACCUGGGGGGCUCUGGGAGGAACCUCAACUGGAAACAUCCAGAAGCCCUCAGAGGCCCCUGUGGCUGGGCAGGAAGACAAGCCACCUUCUCAGGCCCCCACAUACACAUUUGGGGGCAGAAUUUGGCACACUGAGUCUAUUGUGGAGGCUGACAAAGGCAGCUUGGAGACCAGUCCACAUCCAGAAAUGGCCAGGAAUGAGCCACAGGAGGAAUCUGGGGAUUGGGCCACCCCAGAAACUUGCUCUAGUGUGACUGUCAUGGACCCUGAUGAAUGUUCCCAAUCUUCCAGAAAACAAGAGACUGUGGAGGGAGACCCUGCUUAGAAAGGUUCUUUUGAAUCUAGUCUACUAAUCAAAUCCCAAAUAAUUAAUAUUGAUAUAAGAUCAUGGUCUCCAAGGUCCCAUAAAAAUCCCUCCUCAAACACAAAGACUGUUGCCACAAAUCCAGAAGAUGUAUACUUUGAUGAACAGUUUCAUAAGCUUAAGUUCCAAGGGUUCAUAGACUGGCAGAAACUGGCUCAAGGCCAGGCCACUUGCCUGCUCUUUCAAGACUGUGCCGCUGGGAGGCUUCUCAAAACCUGUCACUCAGAUAUAUUCAUUGCCACAAACACCUUGGCUUCCCAGGAAACUCUGUGCUGUUCUGAAUCCCUGUCCAAUUCCCACACAUGUGAUGUUAUGUCCAGUGGAGGGAGCAGCCAGGGACAGCAGAAAGCCCGGAGAAGGCAGCCCCAACAUAAGAGUCAGCAAAGGAAGUUCGUUUCCACUGAUGCCAGAGAGACUAAUAGGAGGCCCAAACUACAAUAGCAUAAAAAGGGGUUGGUGGUACAGAGGUUCUACCAGGCCCGCAGGAUGAGCCACCCUGGCCAGAAAAAGGAAUCAGCAGAGUCCCUACAAAACAGUUAAUCCUGAAGAAGGGACAGGUUUCUUCAGAAAACCACUUGAAAGAAAGGAUUAAGCAGUUUCUGCAGUGGAUUUGCCCCUGAAGGCAAAAGACUGGAACAAGCCCUGCAAAAAGCAAGCCUGCAGCAGACACUGCCCAGAGGCAGGGGACUGUCAAAAGAAGUCUGAUUGCGGACAGCAAGGCUGUUGAGGCUCAGGCUCUCAUGACUGACAUCUGUUGGACAGAUCUUAUAGGAGAAGAUGGAGCUUCACCAUGGACCACAUCUUCGGAGCUUCACUGGUACAAAGCAGAAACUCAGGCCCCAUUAAGUCCAGCUUACUGCUACCACGGCUUUCUCUGAAAUCAAGAGCAAAGGAGAGUGAUGAAACAAACAGCCCACCACCAGCGAGCUACCCCCAUAGGCCAUAUGUAUCCUACAAAGAGGAAGUGGACCAGUCCCAGGAACAGCACGUGGACCUUCCCACCCAGGGAGCCAGGUCCCCAGCUGGGAAGAGCCUGCCAGCACGGAUCAAGAGUGACAAGUGUCCCAGGCCAUCCCCUCCGCAGCCCAAGGCACUGUCUUCUUCAGAAAUACACCUCUGCUGGUCAAUCAGAACAUCCCUGUCACAGCAUUCCUGGUAGGAAAAUUCUUCUCCCAGAAAAAAUGCAUACUGUGCAUAUGAACAAUUUUUCUCUCAUGUUAGGACAUCCUCUGUGUGUUAAAAGCUUCUU
Molecule: long non-coding RNA, 4084 nt
Organism: Dama dama (fallow deer)
Lineage: Eukaryota; Metazoa; Chordata; Mammalia; Artiodactyla; Cervidae
Exons: 3
Source: RefSeq, a predicted model, not a curated record